ACUGGUAAUAGUUCAGAAGCACCGCAAUAAUCUCCUCACUGUUGGUGAAACUCAGAGGGAAGAGAAAGCCCUUUAGAUAGAUUGUGCUUUUAUCAUGGAUUUACGGUUUCAUUUCUUUCAUCUACUUGUAUAUUUUAAUGCUUGGUGGUGUUUCAAAUUGCCUAUGAACGUGAUCAUUUUGCUUUACUUUACAAGUCAAUAUAUUUGGUUUAAUUUUCAAACCAGUGGAGAACUACCUAUUUUGGUCCUUGUCAAUUGCAAUAUGUUUGAGAUUCGGAAUGUAUCAAAAGUUUGAGCUUGGCUGGAGGGCAAUCAUUGUGGUUACUCAAUGCAGACUCAAGGUCACGUGCCAAAUCUACAAGGUGUCCUGAUUCAGGUUCAUUCUAUACGUUGGAGGCUAACACAUGUUUGUAGUUUUUGGAAAACUGGUAGAAGUAUCUCUCUGACAAACACAAUAGAGAUUGCAAGUUGAGGGUUUUGUUUCUGGUUAUGAAGCUGGAAGCAAAGCCAUUAAAGAAUACUCCACCCUUUUCUCUCAGCAAAGGUAAAAAAGGGCCAAUAAGAAGCUAGCACCGUUUGAAAAGGACUUAGAAGUGAAAGUCUAAUCAUAUCUUUGGAUUCUAUUUCUGCUGAUGUGAAACUUGAAUUGCCGUCCUUGGCCAUGAUCAUUUCCUCACCCAAAAAAUAAAAAUAAAUAAAUACAAUGACAAAGAUGAUGCUGAAAGAAGAUUUGUUUUAUGAUUAUAAGCUUGGGCAACUUGUGGUAACAUGAAAAUCCCUUUGGUCUGCAAGGCCCAUUUUUGGUGGAACAUGAUAUAUCAACAUCAGAAUUCUAAGAUUUAUUCUCUUAAAAGUUGUACCUCUUUGCUAUCAUUUUCGGCUGCAGACCAGCCACUUGCUCCGAUAAUAAUUAUUCUCCUGUCAUUUCUUCCAUCAUCAUAAGUACAUUAAUGGGCGUUUUGGUUAUUUACAGGUAUAACUACAACUAAAGCUACAAAUUGUUUGUUUCUUUUAUAACUAGAGUUAUAUUGAUUUGGUUACCUUUUGUUUUAAACUAAACAGUCCCUAAUUGUAUGGUUAUGCAAAUUAUUAAACUAAACAGUAUACCGACAACUUGGGUAUAUAUCAGGGAAACUUAUUUUAAUUUCCCCCCCUCGAUUCUCCUAAAUCCCUCCUCCCUCGAUUACGGCGAGAUUUUGGCCCUGGAUUCCAUCCCAGCGAACCGAAGGAGGUUAUGCUGAAAGGCUUCAAGGUAUCGAAUUGAUCUCGUUAUCUUUUGAUUUGUCGGAUUGAAACCCUAGAUUUUGAGCUCAAUUUUAGCGAUUUCGGUUGUGUUUAGGGAUCUGGCUGGUGUUGAUCAGUUUGUUUGAAUUUGAUUCAGAUACUUAGAAUUUUGACUUAGUGUUAGGGUUUUGGAUUGGAAUUUGGUUGUGGAUGAUGAUGAUUGGUUGGGAUUAGGGUUUCUAAUAGGGGGAGCUAGGGUUUACGAAUCCAUGAUCUGAUUAUAUGUCUCUUACUAUUGAAUAUCACAAUUUUAGCAAUUUUGAUGGUGUUUUAGGGAUUUGACUAGGGUUGAUCAGAUGGUUUAAAUUUCAUUCGCGAUCCCUAAAUUUUGCUUUAGUUUUUGGGUUUUGUGUUCAGAUUCGUUUAUCAGGUAUGAAAAAGUUUAUUUGGGGCUUUGAUCAUUGGAUCCAGGGCUCGAUGUUUGAAGAUUCUAUCUUGGAAAUUAGGUAACCCUUGCUCCCUUGUCCUUCCUCCUAUUUUACUUCUCACUUUUUUAUCAUCAUCAAAAGGGAAUGCUUUAUUUUUCCCUUUUCCCUCAUUAUUAGAAGGCAAUGGCAUGUGAUCAAUACACAUGUUGAUCCUUGAUUUAGCCUCCUUAUUAAAAACUACAGAAACAUCUGAUCGCUCACCUACAACGGUCAGAAGCUUGGACAUUUUGCUCCAGCUGGUGAUAAGAUCAAUGUCAUAUUCUGAAAGUUGAUAUCCAGAAUCAAAACAUGCUAAGAUAGAUUUGAAUAACCCCUUAAAACGUAUGGACUCGGGGAUCAUGACACAUAUAACUAGUAAAUUCUUUACGAU
This is a long non-coding RNA of Asparagus officinalis (garden asparagus), 2082 nucleotides long. RefSeq lists it as uncharacterized. The record is from RefSeq and is a predicted model, not a curated record. The transcript is spliced from 3 exons. Lineage: Eukaryota; Viridiplantae; Streptophyta; Magnoliopsida; Asparagales; Asparagaceae.